RNAcentral lists this long non-coding RNA (260 nucleotides) under Lathyrus oleraceus (garden pea). RNAcentral's name for it is "Pisum sativum (pea) long non-coding RNA (PSAT_LNC007164)". The record is from RNAcentral. Lineage: Eukaryota; Viridiplantae; Streptophyta; Magnoliopsida; Fabales; Fabaceae.
UUUGGUGUGUUAAUUAAUUAUUUAGUGGAUAUGAGAUAUAAGGAAUAAUAGAAUUAAUUAAUUUUGUGUGUAUAUUGUGUUGGUUUAAAUUAUUUUGAAUUAAAUAGAGAUAUUUAAAUAUUAGGUCUUAUUGGGCCUAUUAAUUAAAUUAGAGAUAUUAUGCUUUAAGCUCAAAUAGAAUACUAGUAUAUAAAAGGGAGGAGAGUGAGAAUUAGGAUUCAUUUGAUCAUUGAAGGCAAUAGAGAAAGAGGAGAGGGAAA